RNAcentral lists this ribosomal RNA (26 nucleotides) under Ischnocnema henselii. RNAcentral describes it as "partial 12S ribosomal RNA". The record is from RNAcentral. Lineage: Eukaryota; Metazoa; Chordata; Amphibia; Anura; Brachycephalidae.
AGCGUACUGGAAAGUGCGCUUGGCAA